RNAcentral lists this ribosomal RNA (469 nucleotides) under uncultured bacterium. Its description in RNAcentral is "partial 16S ribosomal RNA". It matches the Rfam family "Bacterial small subunit ribosomal RNA", at positions 28 to 507 of the family's 1533-position model. The record is from RNAcentral.
GACGAACGCUGGCGGCGUGCUUAACACAUGCAAGUCGAACGGAGAUUCCCUACUUGCAUGGUUCUCGAGUGGCGAACGCUUGAGUAACACGUGGCUGCUCUCUCCCUUACUUUUGGAUAAUCCUUUGAAACUUCGUCUAAUACUUGCUAGCACCAUGCUGUAUGUGGUUUGGUGGUAAGAUUAGUUUCGGUAAGGGAUGAGCUCGAGUCCUAUCACCUUGUUGGUGGGGUAAUGUCCUACCACGGCGCCGACGGGUAGCCGGCCGGACAGGGUGGACGGCCACAUUGGGACGGAGAUACGGCCAAGACUACUACGGGAGGCAGUAGUGGGGAAUAUUGAACAAUGGGCGCAAGACGGAUGGAGAGACGCGGCGGGGGGGAUGAAGGCCUUCGGGUUGGAAAAUCCUUUAAGCCAUGGCGAAGCCCUUGUGGUGACGGUAGUGGUAGAAGAAGCACCGGCUAACUACGUG